GAUGAACGCUGGCGGCGUGCCUAAUACAUGCAAGUCGAGCGAACAGACGAGGAGCUUGCUCCUCUGACGUUAGCGGCGGACGGGUGAGUAACACGUGGAUAACCUACCUAUAAGACUGGGAUAACUUCGGGAAACCGGAGCUAAUACCGGAUAAUAUAUUGAACCGCAUGGUUCAAUAGUGAAAGACGGUUUUGCUGUCACUUAUAGAUGGAUCCGCGCCGCAUUAGCUAGUUGGUAAGGUAACGGCUUACCAAGGCGACGAUGCGUAGCCGACCUGAGAGGGUGAUCGGCCACACUGGAACUGAGACACGGUCCAGGCUCCUACGGGAGGCAGCAGUAGGGAAUCUUCCGCAAUGGGCGAAAGCUUGACGGAGCAACGCCGCGUGAGUGAUGAAGGUCUUCGGAUCGUAAAACUCUGUUAUUAGGGAAGAACAAAUGUGUAAGUAACUAUGCACGUCUUGACGGUACCUAAUCAGAAAGCCACGGCUAACUACGUG
This 497-nucleotide ribosomal RNA is filed under the name uncultured bacterium. RNAcentral's name for it is "partial 16S ribosomal RNA". It matches the Rfam family "Bacterial small subunit ribosomal RNA", at positions 28 to 507 of the family's 1533-position model. The record is from RNAcentral.